UAAUGGUCUGAACAGACCCCUUACCAAACGAUUGGGUACCCAUGAUAAUUGCUCGACGGUGAUCUUGAAGAGCGCCUGCAACGAUUUCAGAAGCAGAAGCGGAACCGCCAUUAAUCAAAACAACAAGGGGUUUACCAUCAAUCAAGUCGCCAGAACGGGCGUUAAAGCGUUGGGCGUUGGUAUUAUCACGGCCUCGAGUGGAUACAAUUUCGCCUUGCUCAAGGAAAGCAUCAGAUACGGAAAUCGCUUCGGUAAGAAGGCCUCCAGGAUUUAGGCGUA
Molecule: non-coding RNA, 279 nt
Filed under: uncultured Kiloniella sp.
Lineage: Bacteria; Pseudomonadati; Pseudomonadota; Alphaproteobacteria; Rhodospirillales; Kiloniellaceae
Source: RNAcentral